UGCUGAAAAAUUACUUAAGUUAUUUUGUCUUAUUUUCAAGUGUACUUAGAUAUUUACACAAGAAGUUAGACCA
This is a long non-coding RNA of Xiphophorus couchianus (Monterrey platyfish), 73 nucleotides long. RefSeq lists it as uncharacterized. NCBI's taxonomy places the organism in Eukaryota, Metazoa, Chordata, Actinopteri, Cyprinodontiformes, Poeciliidae. The transcript is spliced from 3 exons. The record is from RefSeq and is a predicted model, not a curated record.